This 4744-nucleotide unclassified non-coding RNA is filed under the name Mizuhopecten yessoensis (Yesso scallop). Its description in RNAcentral is "low-density lipoprotein receptor-related protein 4- like, transcript variant X3". Lineage: Eukaryota; Metazoa; Mollusca; Bivalvia; Pectinida; Pectinidae. The record is from RNAcentral.
ACAUAUGUAACCUAGAAGCAGUCGUGCCGAACGUCAACACACUAAAGACGUAUCCACCCAUCAACUCUCGCCUGUAAAUACAGUCACUUUACCUUACUCGUCUGAUCAUAGAUUUUAUAUCCGUGUACGUGCGUACGACUUCUCACUGCCGACCCGUAAAGGGAGAGUUAUAAGAUGGCAGAGUUUGGGUACGUACUAGGGUUACUCCUGGUUACUCUUACAGAACUCUCAGCACAAGAGGCUUUAAUAACGGGUUUUCAAUCCUCUGUCGUGAAAAAUGGUUCCCUGUACACGUAUCAAGGGACAGUCGACCAACUAUCAAAGCAGACGACAAUCGUACCUGUGAUAACGCAUUUCAAUACCGGAGUCACCAUUACUAGCCUGACCUCUGACCCCGAGAACGAUGUCCUGUUCUUUUACGAAUACUUCACCCAAACCAUAUAUCAGAUAUCAGAUUUUACAUCUUUAAACGUCUAUCAAGCGUCACCGGUACAUGCUGUUUCCAGUUCCUUAAAUACCAACAUAGCCUUUGAUUGGAUAACCCGAAAUCUGUACUGUACUGAUGGUAUUCUAGGAUGGAUAUUGGUGAUACACAUGGGAGCUACGAGGGAGGUAGAUAUGGUACGAAUCCUGCUGGAUACCAACAUGGAGUCACCAGGUGCCAUCACAGUGGACCCAAAGGAAGGUUACAUGUUCUGGUCAGACAUUUACAAAGGAUCUCCCCGUAUAGAACGAGCAUACCUGUCUGGAGAGCGACGCGAGGUGAUUGUAUCCACCAGUCUGCUCAUCAUCGGCGACGUAUCCGCCGACGUCCAGGAGAGACGCAUCUACUGGACAGACAGGAUGCGAAAUACCAUCGAAAGCUGUAUGUAUGACGGCCAGCAAAGGGAGAUCAUUCAUCGGCGGAACAAUUACGUCUUUUCCGACAUCAUGACUGACCUCGCACAUGUUUGUGUCACGGAAGAAUACCAGAAUAUUCUUUUGUGUAUGUACAAAAGUUCUGCCGAGUAUGUGCUGUUAGAAAGGUAUGAUAGACAACCAUACGGACUGGAGGUAUUCGAUAAAUCUCGGAAACCGUCGUCUACGGACAAGUGUGCCCCCAAGUCCUGUCAACACUUUUGUGCUCCCACUCCAGCAGGGGCUACUUGUCUCUGCAAGAAUGGUUACACUCUUCAAGGAGACGAAAAAUCAUGUAUUGCUGACCACGACUUACCAGUGAAGGGAUUACUUUUGGGGAACAGUACACAUGUGUGUGUGAUCGACUUUCUGAAUUUGGAAUCCUUGCCUUUUAAAGCCCCUACCUGUUUUAUAGACAAUCUCCAGGAUACAAUCUUUCUGUCCGUGGAUGUUACGUCCAUGGAUUUAUUUUUUGCUGAUAAGAGAACACGAAGUCUGAAUUCCAUCAAUAUACAAACAAGGAUUAGGAAACAACUUGUCAAUACGGGAAUUGUGUCAGGUUUAGGCUAUGAUUGGGUCGGUCAAAAUUUAUACUGGACUGAAGCAGACACAAGGAAAGUCAAGCUCGUGUCCGUCUCCGUGGCAACACCUAUGUCUAUUGACCUUGUCCUUAGUACCCUCAGCCCGUCUGACGUCACAAUAGAUCCACAUGGAAGAAUGAUUUAUUGGAUAUCAGGAUUAGGCACUCCACAAAAUACAAUACAGGGGAUGUCGACAGAUGGCGGCACGGGCCAGACAACUAUAGUGUCCAGUGGCAAUGAGCUGACGGCGUUGUUCUACGACACCAUGGGAAAUAGGCUAUUCUGGGUGGAGGGUGGAACAUUGAAGAGUUCCUUAGGAAGUGGUAGUGAUAUUACUACACUUAAGGCGCUGGCUACACAACAACACUCGCAGCUCAUAAUCUAUAAGAUGUACGCAGUUUGGAUCAGCUUUACGAGUUCUCAGAUCCACACCAUGUCCAUGGUGACUAAACAGCUUCUAACUCGAGCCAUCGACGGGUUUGGGGACGUAACGGGGAUGGCCGUAUUUGAUGAAACAAUACAAUCACAACAACCAGAACCAUGUUCCGUCCUGAACGGUGGAUGUUCCCAUAUAUGCAUACCAACGUCCAAUACGGGGAGGCGCUGCGUUUGUACCUUUGGUUUUACACUGCAGCUAGACAAGAAGUUCUGCAAGAGCAAACCUCCUCUGACGAACAACUUUCUUUUGGUACCUGAUCUAAACCAUGCCCGUCUGUACCAGCUAUCCCUUGACAAUGUCACGCCUCAGUUUCUUGCCCUUGACCUUCAAGUAGACAGACCAGUCGACGCCGUGUAUGAUCCUGUAAAUCUGUACAUGUACUGGACAGAGGCUAACCUCAAAGUUAUCAAGAGGAGUAAACUGGAUGGCACAGAGGUCCAGACUCUACUGACAUUUUCACAAGAGUAUCCUGAACGGCUUGCCAUAGACUUUAGCACUGGGAAUCUGUUCUACACGACAUCGGUCGUUGGUGACUCUGCCAGUAGGGAUGGUAAGGUCGGAGUGCUGAGGAUCAUUCAGGACCAAACCUUCAAUAAAGUGCUUAUAAAAGAUGAAGGCGCUGCCGACUUCAUUCAGGGACUGCUAGUGUUUCCAAAAAACGGAUUGCUGAUUUGGAGUGGAACGGACUUUGAUGGCCCGAAAUCUGUUGGAGCCAUACAUAAGUCAUUCAUGGACGGUUCUGCAAUCACGUUACUGGUAUCUGACGUUAACAGCCCACAGGGCCUCACCAUGGAUUAUGAAACCGGACGUGUAUACUGGGCGUCAGGCGAUGGCGUAGAGUACAGCGACUUGUCUGGGAACAAAGGCACACUGGUGAAGAGCUCAGAAAUGUUGACAGAUUUAGUAGUUACAAGCAAUGUCAUUUACUACACGGGUAGAAAUACCAGAAAAGUUAUAAAGAUUGACAAAAGUACCGGAGCCAAUAUUCAUUGGUUGGAUAACACUCCAGAAGUGGGCAGCGUGUUCUCCAUCGACAUAUACAACGGACAGCAACAACCAGCUAAUGCUGCAUGUACCAAUAACGGCCUGUGUGAUGUAUUCUGUCUGCCAACCCUCACGGGAAAAACAUGCGGCUGCCAAGAUGGAGUCUACUUACAGCAAGACAAACGAACAUGUGGAUCAACUGUGACAUGUGAUACGACAAUACCCAAUGGGCUGAUAUCGUCCUUCUGUACGGGGAUAGUGGCUGAGACCUGUACGUAUCAAUGUAAUUCCGGUUAUCAUAAGAACGUCGAUCAUUCCACCAUUACUUGUCUCUCUGUGGGCGCUUGGACAACAUUACAAACUAGCCUCUGUCUAGCGGACUCCCCUCCCUCAGCUGUAUCGAUAAUACCAGUCAUCGCCGGGGCCGUGGGGGCGGUGAUAUUCAUUUUUAUUGUUAUCGUCAUCGUCGUAUGUUUAUGGAAGAGGAAACGUAAAGCACAGACAUUCCAAGAAUCCAUGUAUAUGAGCAGCAUGAGUAGGCCCACAGUGGUACAGAAUCAAUAUGGGAUGUCCCAGGAUAUAAACAUCUCAGGUGCUCAAGUGGUAGUGACACCUCCUGGUUACGUUGAUGAGAACAAAAUCAAUGCCGCCUACCUCCAUCCUCCCGAACAGCGUGCAAGGUGUCCUUCACCUGAUCGCGUGUACACUGAACUUCCGCAUGCUUACUCACAGGCAGAUCCAAACUACAUCCACCCAAUGGAAAAUGAACACGACGAAGCACAACCAAAUCCAUAACAUGCAGCCAUUGAAAGUUUAGGCCGAUUUACCCAAUACAUUUUCUGUGCUUAUUGAAUUGUCUGAUUUAGCACUUUGUAUGAAAAGUGUUCUCUGUUCAUGUUUUAUCGUUUAACCUAAAAAGAAACACCAAAAGUGUUGACGUUAAAUUAACUGAUAAGGGUUUAAACAAAUUAUAUUUUCUGGUUGAUACUAUACACUUCCGUGUCGUAAAUAUUUUAACAUAUAACUAUUGAUAUGUGCAUAUGAAUGCUUGAUUUGUUAUACAGUUUCGUACUUUGUUACACAUGUUUUCAUAUAUAAAACACGUCAUAUUUAGAAAAAAGUUAGAUGUACUCAUUAUAUCGCAUACCUUUCGAUACCAAAGUAUGAAUGGGUACCAGUAUGUUGCAAUUUGUUCAAUAUUUCGCGGGAUGUCCAUUGAUAAUUGAUAAACAUGGCGUGAAGUUUAUCUAUCCUUGGGCAUUCCGGUCUUUGAUAAUUUGCCAAACUCAAACGGGAUUGAACAUAAUGUUAUUAAAUUCAUGCCGUAAUAAACAGCGGUAGCAUUGUAAGACCCUCUAAUGCAUUAACGUGUCUUAGUGCACCAAAAGAAUAUUAAACACAUAAAAUUGCAUAGAAAUGUGUGUGAUCAAUGUUAUUUCGAUGCAAUACACCACGUUGAUGCACCGAGGGGUCUAAAAUAGCAUACACCUGGCUAAACAUUAAAGAGACAUACCAUCCCAUUGAUAAAUUUAUAUUCUAAAAGGAAAACGAACCAGUACCCUUAAACCGUUGAUAUCUGAGAGGUUGUAGGCUGUGAACAUCAUAUUGAUAAAUAUAUAAGAAUGGUGUCGUUAUCAACCAUUUGUAUGAUAUAAGGCUUAAAUUUUUAAAUUUGUAGUGAACUUAUUUAGGCAAUGAAUGUUUUAGCAAAUGUUGUUAUGGUCCUAUAAUACGCAUUACUAAUGAUGACAAACUUCAUAAAGCCCGACAGAGUUUUAUGUAAAUUUGACAGCAAUAGAAAUGUGUUUGCUAAAAUAUUUAUUAUUUAUAUUUCCUUUUUGAU